This 465-nucleotide ribosomal RNA is filed under the name Vreelandella stevensii. RNAcentral describes it as "partial 16S ribosomal RNA". It matches the Rfam family "Bacterial small subunit ribosomal RNA", at positions 338 to 795 of the family's 1533-position model. The record is from RNAcentral. Lineage: Bacteria; Pseudomonadati; Pseudomonadota; Gammaproteobacteria; Oceanospirillales; Halomonadaceae.
CCUACGGGGGGCAGCAGUGGGGAAUAUUGGACACUGGGCGAAAGCCUGAUCCAGCCAUGCCGCGUGUGUGAAGAAGGCCUUCGGGUUGUAAAGCACUUUCAGUGGGGAAGAAAGCCUUGGGGCUAAUACCCUCGAGGAAGGACAUCACCCACAGAAUAAGCACCGGCUACCUCCGUGCCAGCAGCCGCGGUAAUACGGAGGGUGCGAGCGUUAAUCGGAAUUACUGGGCGUAAAGCGCGCGUAGGCGGUCUGAUAAGCCGGUUGUGAAAGCCCCGGGCUCAACCUGGGAACGGCAUCCGGAACUGUCAGGCUAGAGUGCAGGAGAGGAAGGUAGAAGUCCCGGUGUAGCGGUGAAAUGCGUAGAGAUCGGGAGGAAUACCAGUGGCGAAGGCGGCCUUCUGGACCGACACGGACGCUGAGGUGCGAAAGCGUGGGUAGCAAACAGGAUUAGAUACCCUAGUAGUC